Long non-coding RNA from Ornithodoros turicata, 335 nucleotides. RefSeq lists it as uncharacterized. The record is from RefSeq and is a predicted model, not a curated record. NCBI's taxonomy places the organism in Eukaryota, Metazoa, Arthropoda, Arachnida, Ixodida, Argasidae. The transcript has 3 exons.
UUGAAGAGGAGCACACUAAACGCAGCGUAGCGCUCGCUGCUAUGGAAGAAAAAUACGCCCUAGAUAUGGAAAAGAUGAGAAAGUCUAUGGAAACUGCAGCAAGGCAUGGUAGGAUCGCUGCUGCACUACAUGGUAUCCCAGUGUUGGGCCCACUUGUAGGAGGAAUAUAUACACUGUCGACUUCUCCAUGAGGUCACUGAGGAAAGCUGCGCCGCUUAUUGACGAUUCGGGGUUACCAGGCCAUGCUUUGUGCAGAAAAUUGUAUGAAGAAAUACCCAAGCAGAAAUAGUAUUUUGGUUAAAGCUUGGACACAUAUUCUGUAACUGGGACAGAUA